GAUGAACGCUAGCUACAGGCUUAACACAUGCAAGUCGAGGGGCAGCAUGAACUUAGCUUGCUAAGUUUGAUGGCGACCGGCGCACGGGUGAGUAACACGUAUCCAACCUGCCGAUGACUCGGGGAUAGCCUUUCGAAAGAAAGAUUAAUACCCGAUGGCAUAGUUCUUCCGCAUGGUAGAACUAUUAAAGGAUUUCGGUCAUCGAUGGGGAUGCGUUCCAUUAGGUUGUUGGCGGGGUAACGGCCCACCAAGCCUUCGAUGGAUAGGGGUUCUGAGAGGAAGGUCCCCCACAUUGGAACUGAGACACGGUCCAAACUCCUACGGGAGGCAGCAGUGAGGAAUAUUGGUCAAUGGACGAGAGUCUGAACCAGCCAAGUAGCGUGAAGGAUGACUGCCCUAUGGGGUUGUAAACUUCUUUUAUACGGGAAUAAAGUGAGGCACGCGUGCCUUUUUGUAUGUACCGUAUGAAUAAGGAUCGGCUAACUCCGUG
Molecule: ribosomal RNA, 490 nt
Filed under: uncultured bacterium
Lineage: Bacteria
Description: bacterial SSU rRNA
Rfam family: Bacterial small subunit ribosomal RNA
Source: RNAcentral